AGCCUGCCCACUGAUUUAGUUUAAAGGGCCGCGGUAUAUUGACCGUGCGAAGGUAGCAUAAUCAUUAGUCUUUUAAUUGAAGGCUUGUAUGAAUGGUUGGACAAAAAGUAAGCUGUCUCAAUUAUAAUAAUUGAACUUAACUUUUAAGUGAAAAGGCUUAAAUAAAUUAGGGGGACGAUAAGACCCUAUAAAGCUUGACAAUAAUUUAAUUAUACUAUCAAUUGUUAGUGUAACUUGGUUUUAAUUAAAAUUUGUUGCGUUGGGGCGACGAGAAUAUAAUAGGUAACUGUUCUUAAAUAUUUAAUAACAAAUAUAAUUGAAAAUUAGUUGAUCCUCUAUUAGCGAUUAAAAGAUUAAGUUACUUUAGGGAUAACAGCGUAAUCUUCUUUGAGAGUCCCUAUCGACAAGAAGGUUUGCGACCUCGAUGUUGAAUUAAGGUAUCCUUAUGAUGCAGCAG
Molecule: ribosomal RNA, 457 nt
Filed under: Penaeus merguiensis
Lineage: Eukaryota; Metazoa; Arthropoda; Malacostraca; Decapoda; Penaeidae
Description: partial 16S ribosomal RNA
Rfam family: Bacterial large subunit ribosomal RNA
Source: RNAcentral